UCCUCACUUUCAGGCUUCCAUGCUUCUCUGUGACAUCCCCAAAAACAGGCAGAGUCUAAGAUGUGCAUUUACCCACUCAAGCCUCAAGCUUGUAUCUGUAUCCAUAUCCAGGGACAUGAACAAGAACUGGGGUAGCCAAUUGAUUUAACUUAGAGCACUCUCAAAGUUCAGAUCAGCGUUCUGUGUGUGCAUGAGUGUGGUGGGGAGCUUUUCCCCUAGGACAAAGAGACUUUCCCUCCCAUUUUUGCCAUUGUGCUAGUUAAAAAAAAAAGUAAAGAAAAAAAAAAAAGAAUCCCUGACAAGGAAGAAUUCCCUGAAGAUGGUAGGGGUGGAAAUAAUGACCACUGAGAUGAUAUUCCAUUUCUGGCUCCUGGGGGAAAAUGUUUUUAAAAUUUAUUUUAUUUUGAGGAGACCAAGAUAGUCUGAAGUUUAGAGUGUUGUAAUUUACUAUAGGGAGAGGGCACAAGACUCUGAGCCCCAAGCAAUUGGUGGGAAACUAGGCCUCAAAGCAGAAAAUGAAAAGUCGAUCUGGGAGAAGAUUUUUAAAUAAGUGGGUCAGAGGGAUGGAGAGGAGAUGAGGCGAUCAAUCUUAGCCCCCUGACAGCUCCCUCCGAUUGCAUCAAAGAAUUUGGCUCUUUGGGAAAGCAGAGGCAACAGCCAAAACUUCACAUCCCUUAAAAAGGCCUGGGGGUGGGGGUGGGGGUGCAAAAGAGAAAGGUGAUUCUGGGAGAGCUGGGAAACAGACGGGAAAUGGGGACAGAGGGAAAGCGCUAAGUUGGGUGGAAAGUUUGCCUGGAGAACUCCCACGGCUCUGGCCUCCCCUCCCCCUCCUCUCUCUCUGCUGCCCAGCCAGGAGGAGAAGGCUGGUUAGCAGAGAAAUGGCAACUGAGCCCGGAGCUGGAACUAGAAACUUUCUGUCAGUGUAACAUCUGCGUGGGUGGUGACCCAAUGGUGGUUGGGCUUCGGGUCACGUGACAACUUCUUUGUAGCUCCGGAAGAGGAUUGCGAAGUUUAGGUUUCGUGGAAGAAACCGUAAUCGGCCAGAUUUUCUUGAUAAUUGAGGGAAAAAAAUCAAGAUUUGGGGGAAUUACCUACAAAGAUGUAAGGUGUGUUAAUUUGGGCGCUUCUUGGAUUCUACCCUGAGGAGGAGGCGCGUGGUGAGAGGAGAGGUCUGUGUAGGUGGGGUGGGGUUCGCAGGGUCCGUGGUGCUGGCUGGGCGCCAUAGGGGGCGCCCCGUUGUAGUCCAGGUUCCCGGAAGGGUGAUGGGAAAGGUGGUUGAGGCCAUAGAGGGAGGGGCCGGCAGGGGGCGGCAGCGGAUCCGCGUAGCCGCCCCCUCCCACGUACACCGGACUGCCCUGCAUGGUGGGCGUCCCGUAGGCGCCCCCGUUGGCUUGGAGGACGUGCGGCUCAUACUCGGGAGCCGGGGUCGGAGGGUACUUCUGCGGGGCGCCGCAGCCUUUGAGAGGGGGCUGGUAGUUGGAGGGCAGCGCGUAGGCAUUCUGGUGGGCUUUACCGAAGGCAGGUGGGGACGGGCUCUCGUAGCUGGGGGUCAUGGAGUGUAAGGCGUUCAUGAAGCCGGCCGUGGACUGCAUGGGCUGUGGGGGGCUGCCAGCUGGAGAUGGGCCCCCCGACGACGAGGCCAAUCCCUUGGCCUUCUGGUCCUUCUUGUACUUCAUGCGCCGGUUCUGGAACCAGAUCUUGAUCUGCCGCUCGCUGAGGUUCAGCAGGUUGGCCAUCUCCACACGGCGAGGCCGGCACAGGUAGCGGUUAAAAUGGAACUCCUUCUCCAGCUCCACCAGCUGCGCGCUCGUGUACGCCGUCCGCGCCCGCUUGGACGCCGCCGACCCCGGGGGGCUCUUGUCCCCUCCCCCGCCGCCGCCGCCGCCACCGCCCCCGCUGCCACCACUGCCUCCGCCGCCGCCGCCACCACAGCCCUCUGCUGGAUCCGAGAGGGAGGGGUGGGAAGGGGAGAAAAUGAAAUAAAAGAUAAUUACUGAA
Molecule: long non-coding RNA, 1998 nt
Organism: Pongo pygmaeus (Bornean orangutan)
Lineage: Eukaryota; Metazoa; Chordata; Mammalia; Primates; Hominidae
Exons: 4
Source: RefSeq, a predicted model, not a curated record